RNAcentral lists this ribosomal RNA (222 nucleotides) under Fictibacillus solisalsi. RNAcentral describes it as "partial 16S rRNA. Bacterial SSU". It matches the Rfam family "Bacterial small subunit ribosomal RNA", at positions 1 to 215 of the family's 1533-position model. The record is from RNAcentral. Lineage: Bacteria; Bacillati; Bacillota; Bacilli; Caryophanales; Fictibacillaceae.
CUUUAUUGGAGAGUUUGAUCCUGGCUCAGGACGAACGCUGGCGGCGUGCCUAAUACAUGCAAGUCGAGCGGACAGAUGAGGAGCUUGCUCCUCUGAUGUUAGCGGCGGACGGGUGAGUAACACGUGGGCAACCUACCUGUAAGACGGGGAUAACUCCGGGAAACCGGAGCUAAUACCGGAUAAUAAAGAGAAACGCCUGUUUCUUUUUUGAAAGUCGGUUUC